This 309-nucleotide ribosomal RNA is filed under the name uncultured bacterium. RNAcentral's name for it is "partial 16S ribosomal RNA". It matches the Rfam family "Bacterial small subunit ribosomal RNA", at positions 504 to 809 of the family's 1533-position model. The record is from RNAcentral.
AGAGACAGCAGCAGCCACGGUAAAACGUAGGUGGCAAGCGUUGUCCGGAAUUAUUGGGCGUAAAGGGCUCGCAGGCGGUUUCUUAAGUCUGAUGUGAAAGCCCCCGGCUCAACCGGGGAGGGUCAUUGGAAACUGGGAAACUUGAGUGCAGAAGAGGAGAGUGGAAUUCCACGUGUAGCGGUGAAAUGCGUAGAGAUGUGGAGGAACACCAGUGGCGAAGGCGACUCUCUGGUCUGUAACUGACGCUGAGGAGCGAAAGCGUGGGGAGCGAACAGGAUUAGAUACCCCUGUAGUCCCUGUCUCUUAUAA